ACGACCGCCACCAAUUCGUGUGCUCCCGUCGACGUCUCUUGAGGAUCGUAAAGUAUCGAUGUUUCCCUGUACGUUAUCAGACCCCAAUUCUCCAUAGCACCGGCAGCGAAAUCCGGUAUCGCUAUAAGGAGUGGACAAGUUUUGUGUGGAAAAAAUGGACUAAUGAUUGAACUUUGAGUACGUCCAAAAAUUGCAACUUCGAAAGCUUCGAGGUCAGGUUGCAGGUGACUGCACGGUCCAUACUGUUAAGCACUGCGGCAGAUAUUCUACUAUAUGUGGAUAGUGGACCCCGAAGAAGGACUCGAAAUAAUCCAUCAUACGGGCUGCAGUGGUAACUGCGAAUUUGGCUUGUGGAAGCAUCGACUCGGGAGCGUAAACGCUUACGGAAACGUUUCUGCUGGUCAGUUCCGAG
Long non-coding RNA from Venturia canescens, 412 nucleotides. RefSeq lists it as uncharacterized. The transcript is spliced from 3 exons. The record is from RefSeq and is a predicted model, not a curated record. Lineage: Eukaryota; Metazoa; Arthropoda; Insecta; Hymenoptera; Ichneumonidae.